UGCGUAGGCGGCCCGGGAAGUUGGGUGUGAAAUCCCUCGGCUCAACCGAGGAACUGCGCCCAAAACUGCCGGGCUCGAGGGAGAUAGAGGUGAGCGGAACUUAGGGUGGAGCGGUGAAAUGCGUUGAUAUCCUAAGGAACACCAGUAGCGAAAGCGGCUCACUGGGUCUCUUCUGACGCUGAGGCACGAAAGCUAGGGGAGCGAACGGGAUUAGAUACCCCGGUAGUCCUAGCCGUAAACGAUGAGCACUGGGUUGGAGGGUCCUCCAUAGCCUUCUAGCCGUAGCGAAAGUGUUAAGUGCUCCGCCUGGGGAGUAUGGUCGCAAGGCCGAA
This 332-nucleotide ribosomal RNA is filed under the name uncultured bacterium. RNAcentral describes it as "bacterial SSU rRNA". It matches the Rfam family "Bacterial small subunit ribosomal RNA", at positions 568 to 898 of the family's 1533-position model. The record is from RNAcentral.